GAAAUGGCUUUUCUAAAAGCCAAAAUCAGAUCAAAUUGAUAUUUU
This is a non-coding RNA of Alligator mississippiensis (American alligator), 45 nucleotides long. NCBI's taxonomy places the organism in Eukaryota, Metazoa, Chordata, Crocodylia, Alligatoridae. The record is from Rfam.